This 349-nucleotide ribosomal RNA is filed under the name uncultured bacterium. Its description in RNAcentral is "bacterial SSU rRNA". It matches the Rfam family "Bacterial small subunit ribosomal RNA", at positions 28 to 392 of the family's 1533-position model. The record is from RNAcentral.
GAUGAAUGCUGGCGGCGUGCCUAAUACAUGCAAGUCGAGCGGUAAGGCCCUUCGGGUACACGAGCGGCGGACGGCUGAGUAACGCGUGGGAACAUGCCCCAAAGUGAGGGAUAACGCACCGAAAGGUGUGCUAAUACCGCAUAUGGUCUUCGGAUUAAAGGAUUUAUCCGCUUUGGGAGUGGCCCGCGUACGAUUAGAUUGUUGGUGAGGUAACGGCUCACCAAGUCGACGAUCGUUAACUGGUCUGAGAGGAUGAUCAGUCAGACUGGAACUGAGACACGGUCCAGACUCCUACGGGAGGCAGCAGUAAGGAAUCUUCCAACAAUGGGGCGAAAAGCCUUGAUGGAGC